Molecule: long non-coding RNA, 322 nt
Organism: Salarias fasciatus (jewelled blenny)
Lineage: Eukaryota; Metazoa; Chordata; Actinopteri; Blenniiformes; Blenniidae
Exons: 3
Source: RefSeq, a predicted model, not a curated record
CCAGACACCCGGACUCCAAGGUGCGUUUCUCCUCCCUGCUCAUGCUGAUGGAGGUGGCGUCCAAACUGAAGGAGAACUACAUGGUGCUGCUUCCAGAAACCAUCCCCUUCCUGGCCGAGCUCAUGGAGGAUGAGUGCGAGGAGGUGGAGCAGCAGGUCCAGAAGGUGGUGCAGGAGAUGGAGAACAUCCUGGGAGAGCCGCUGCAGAGUUACUUCUAACCCACACACACACACACACACACACACACACACACACACACACACACACUAUAUCUCGAUCAUGUGACCUGUUGUUGUUUGAAAAUAAAUAAAUAAACUCAGAU